RNA transcript from Rosa rugosa (rugosa rose), 2370 nucleotides. RefSeq lists it as uncharacterized. The record is from RefSeq and is a predicted model, not a curated record. The transcript has 3 exons. NCBI's taxonomy places the organism in Eukaryota, Viridiplantae, Streptophyta, Magnoliopsida, Rosales, Rosaceae.
CUUGUCUCUUCCAUUGGCUGCAAAAACAAAAACAUUAAAACCCUUUCAAUGACUUACUGAAAUCUCAAUCUCAAUCAAAAUCAAAAUCAAGACCAAUUCCCUACUUCUUCAUAUCCCAAUAAUCCUAAACCAGAGAAUCUAAUUCUUCUAUAUCUAAUUCAAAAAAGCACAUAGGGCAUUCCCCAGAAACAAAAUCCCCUACUUUCAGAUACCCAACAAUCUCAAUUGCAUGUAUCUCUAAACCAAGCCCAAUCUUUCACCCCUCUGGUAAAUUAUUGUACACGCCCAAAAAUCCCAUCCUUCUUCCUCUUUUCGUUCUUAUUUUGCUUUCUCUCCUUUGCCUCUUAUUUCCUUCCCGUCUCCCUCUUCUGCUUCUUCCUCUUUCCCUUCUUCCCCUGUUCUCUUCUCUCUCUGCUUUUUUUUUUUUUUUUGUCUCCUCGGUUUCUCUGUGUCGGUCUCCUCUAUUUUUUUUUCUCCAUGCAUAUAUAGGCUGCGUUUUGGGGGGGGGGGCUUUUAAGCUCCCUUGCUUAUAAGAAUAUAAGCGAAGCACAUCGAUGUGUUUGGUAAACUAAGAAAGGACCUUCUUUGCUUCUAAGCCCAGGCUUUUUCAGAGCAAAAGCAGAAGCCCGGCUAGUCGGCUACCCCUGCUUUUAGAAGCAGAAGCUGGAAUUGUAGCGGGGAAACUGUAGCAGAGUUUUAAUGAAAUUUUCAAAAUACCAAAAGCUACCGUCAUGGAUUCAGAUUAAUUACAACCUGAUACCAAGAACUACUCUUCCAUUCGAUCACUUGUCCUUUCUCUGUUCCAGUUACUUCUCUGGAGCCUACAUUUCCGACUUGGAGAGCUCAGGAGAGAAAGUGGUCGCCGUAAUCAUGGUUGGAGGCCCAACUAAAGGCACAUGUGUCAUCUCAAUUUCCCUCAAUUUAGUUAAAGUUUGGAUCUUUUUGAAGCUUUUGUGGGUUUUCAAUUUUCUGGGCAGGGAUUUUCAGCCUCUAUCAAUCAACACGCAGAAGCCACUAUUCCCAUUGGCUGGGCAAGCUAUGGUUCAUCAUCCAAUCUCAACUUGUAAAAAGGUAAGCUUUUUCUUAAUGGGAUUUUGAUUUUGCCAUCAGUACUAGUUUAGGGUCUAAAUUGUAGAUAACCCAAUUUGGCUCAAAAUUUUCUAUUGGGUUUUAUGAGGAGCGCGAGUUUGCACUCUAUGUUUCUUCAAUUUCCAAUAAGCUUAAAGUAUGAGUGAGGUGUACUUGAAAGAGGGUCAGUAUCUCUUAUGAAGAAUUGAUUGUGGCGUGGUCCAAGGUCUCUUUGCAAUGCUUGUGGGCUCUUCUGGGCAAACAGGGACAGUAUAUCUUAUGAUGAAUUGAUUGCUUGUUUUCUUUUAUUGCUUUGUUUUUUAGAGGGUUGGUUUCUGUUGGUUUACUGGAAUUAUUGUUAGUUAGAAUUAUGGAUGAGGAUUGAGAACUUAGAAGGAGUAAUUGAUAAUGCUGCCUGGGAUGUUGUUUGAUUUUGCACAUAAUCAAGGUUGGUGUCUUGACAAGCUGCUAGUUUAAUUGUCUGAGCGUAUUGCAAAUUGUGUCAAAAAUGGUCUAAUUUUAAAUAUGAUUGUGUUACUGAAGCUGCUACCAAGGUUAACAAAUUGUAAAUGGCUUCAUUCCCAUAGCAUGUAUGAGAAAACUAUUCACAUCCUGCGUCCUUCUAAUUUGUUGUGCAUGUUCUAACUUCACUACCACUUAAAGAAAGUCUAGAGACUGCUUCCUAACCAAGAACAGAACUCUGCAGUAUUUCUAGUUUAUAUGUUUUUCUUGUGCCACCACCAAACUGUGCAUUAGUAGCACCAACUAAUUAUAACCAUGUGUGUGUGUGUUUAAUGUGUGGUUGUGGUUUGGGAUAUACCUUCUGCCAACUUAAUGUGUGGUUGGAUGCCAUGUUCUGAGCAUUCCCAAGAAACUUCUUUCCUCUCAAAUUUCUGGUUUGCAGAAGGAUCAGGACCCAAAUGGAAAAUUCCGCUGCUGUGGAUGCAAAACAGGUGAGGAGGGAGUAUGGUACUGGUCCAAGGUUUUUGAUACAUUAAUGCUGCAGCCUUGGUAAUGGACACUAUUCUUGGAGGUCAACUUGCGACCUCUAUUGUUCAACCAACACUAUUCCUGGAGAUCGACACUCUUUAAUAUUAUCAUUUGAGGGCUUUGUAGCAUGCCAAUUAAGAAAUGGGUGUAUAAUAUAUGCUUUGCUUUAGUUGCUAAUAGUCUUUCUUUUUAUGUCCUGGACUCUUGAUUCACUCUUCCCCUAAAGAUUAACAGCUUGCAAGUGGAUUUCAUGUGUAGCUUGGCAAUGCUGUUGCUUCUUAACAUUUGUUCUGCCUUCCUUGCAUAGUCUAA